RNAcentral lists this ribosomal RNA (626 nucleotides) under uncultured bacterium. RNAcentral describes it as "bacterial SSU rRNA". It matches the Rfam family "Bacterial small subunit ribosomal RNA", at positions 61 to 687 of the family's 1533-position model. The record is from RNAcentral.
GUCGAACGUGAAAGUCUUCUUCGGAAGGCGACUAGCGUGGCGAACGGGUGAGUAACGCGUGGGUGACCUACCCUAUGGAGGGGGAUAAGCCGGGGAAACCCGGUCCAAUACCGCAUAAGGCCCUUUGGGGGAACCUGAAGGGGGAAAGCUUGGCCGACUUUGGUUGGUCUGGCGCCGAAGGAGGGGCCCGCGUCCGAUUAGCUAGUUGGUGGGGUAAAGGCUCACCAAGGCGACGAUCGGUAACCGGUCUGAGAGGACGGACGGUCACACUGGGACUGAGACACGGCCCAGACUCCUACGGGAGGCAGCAGUGGGGAAUCUUGGGCAAUGGGCGAAAGCCUGACCCAGCGACGCCGCGUGGAGGACGAAGGCCCUCGGGUCGUAAACUCCUGUUCUUGGGGAAGAGAAUGACGGUACCCAAGGAGCAAGCCCCGGCUAACUCCGUGCCAGCAGCCGCGGUAAUACGGGGGGGGCAAGCGUUGUUCGGAAUUACUGGGCGUAAAGGGUGCGUAGGCGGCUUAGGAAGUCUGAGGUGAAAGUCCCCGGCUCAACCGGGGGAGGACCUCAGAAACCCGUAGGCUAGAGAGCUGGAGAGGGAAGCGGAAUUCCCGGUGGAGCGGUGAAAU